GNAUUAAUGCUGGCGGCGUGCCUAAUACAUGCAAGUCGAGCGGUAACAGGGGGUCUCACCGUUUCCUUGACACACCUAGCGCUAUGAUCGUAGGUUGUGCAAAUCUCGAGGGAACAGUGAGACCCUGCUGACGAGCGGCGGACGGCUGAGUAACGCGUGGGAACGGACCCCAAACUGAGGGAUAACUACUCGAAAGAGUGGCUAAUACCGCAUGUGAUCUUCGGAUUAAAGUCUUCGGACGGUUUGGGACUGGCCUGCGUACGAUUAGAUAGUUGGUGAGGCAAUGGCUCACCAAGUCGACGAUCGUUAGAUGGUUUGAGAAGAUGAUCAUCCAGACUGGGACUGAGACACGGCCCAGACUCCUACGGGAGGCAGCAGUAGGGAAUCUUUCACAAUGGGCGAAAGCCUGAUGGAGCAACGCCGCGUGCAGGAUGACGGCCUUCGGGUUGUAAACUGCUUUUAUAACCGAGAAAUAUGAUGGUAAGUUAUGAAUAAGGACCGGCUAACUACGUGCCAGCAGCCGCGGUCAUACGUAGGGUCCAAGCAUUAUCCGGAUUGACUGGGUGUAAAGAGUUGCGUAGGUGGCAGGGUAAGUAGAUAGUGAAAUCUGGUGGCUCAACCAUUCAGACUAUUAUCUAAACUGCUCGCUCGAGAGCGUUAGGGUAGCUGAAUUCUAGUGUAGAUGAAUCGUAAUAUAGAAGACACGAUGCGUAGCAGGCUACUGGACGUUCUGACCUAGCACGAAGCGUGGGAAGCAACGGAUAGAUCCCCGGUAGUCCC
This 780-nucleotide ribosomal RNA is filed under the name uncultured rumen bacterium. RNAcentral describes it as "bacterial SSU rRNA". It matches the Rfam family "Bacterial small subunit ribosomal RNA", at positions 27 to 797 of the family's 1533-position model. The record is from RNAcentral.